UCACUUCGGUGGCGCCAGUGGCGAACGGUCGCGUAACACGUAAGCAACCUGCCCGGAAGUGGGGGAUAACGGCCCGAAAGGGGCGCUAAUACCGCAUGUGGUCAAGUCCAGGCAUCUGGUCUUGUCUAAAGAUUUAUCGCUUCCGGAUGGGCUUGCGGCCUAUCAGGUAGUCGGUGGGGUAACGGCCUACCGAGCCGACGACGGGUAGCUGGUCUGAGAGGACGAUCAGCCGGAUUGGGACUGAGAUACGGCCCAGACUCCUACGGGGGGCAGCAAUUAGGAAUCUUGCGCAAUGGGGGCAACCCUGACGCAGCGACGCCGCGUGCGGGACGAAGGCAUUCGUGUCGUAAACCGCUUUUCUCGGGGAAGAAGGAUGUGACGGUACCCGAGGAAUAAGCCCCGGCUAACUACGUGCCAGCAGCCGCGGUAAUACGUAGGGGGCGAGCGUUGUCCGAAGUUACUGGGCGUAAAGCGCGCGUAGGCGGUUCUCUAAGUCUGAGGUGAAAGGUUCGGCGCUCAACGUGAACAGUGCCUUGGAGACUGGGGGACUUGAGUGUGGGAGGGGGCAGUGGAAUUCCGGGUGUAGCGGUGAAAUGCGUAGAUAUCCGGAGGAACACCGAUGGCGAAGGCAGCUGCCUGGCCUGACACUGACGCUGAGGUGCGAAAGCGUGGGGAGCGAACGGGAUUAGAUACCCCGGUAGUCCACGCCGUAAACGAUGAGUGCUAGGUGUCCGGGGUAUCGACCCCCCGGGUGCCGCCGCCAACGCAGUAAGCACUCCGCCUGGGGAGUACGGCCGCAAGGUUG
RNAcentral lists this ribosomal RNA (805 nucleotides) under uncultured Bacillota bacterium. RNAcentral's name for it is "bacterial SSU rRNA". It matches the Rfam family "Bacterial small subunit ribosomal RNA", at positions 75 to 896 of the family's 1533-position model. Lineage: Bacteria; Bacillati; Bacillota. The record is from RNAcentral.